GACGAACGCUGGCGGCGUGCCUAAUACAUGCAAGUUGAGCGCUGAAGGUUGGUACUUGUACCGACUGGAUGAGCAGCGAACGGGUGAGUAACGCGUGGGGAAUCUGCCUUUGAGCGGGGGACAACAUUUGGAAACGAAUGCUAAUACCGCAUAAAAACUUUAAACACAAGUUUUAAGUUUGAAAGAUGCAAUUGCAUCACUCAAAGAUGAUCCCGCGUUGUAUUAGCUAGUUGGUGAGGUAAAGGCCCACCAAGGCGAUGAUACAUAGCCGACCUGGGAGGGUGAUCGGCCACAUUGGGACUGAGACACGGCCCAAACUCCUACGGGAGGCAGCAGUAGGGAAUCUUCGGCAAUGGACGAAAGUCUGACCGAGCAACGCCGCGUGAGUGAAGAAGGUUGUCGGAUCGUAAAACUCUGUUGGUAGAGAAGAACGUUGGUGAGAGUGGAAAGCUCAUCAAGUGACGGUAACUACCCAGAAAGGGACGGCUAACUACGUG
This 497-nucleotide ribosomal RNA is filed under the name uncultured bacterium. RNAcentral describes it as "partial 16S ribosomal RNA". It matches the Rfam family "Bacterial small subunit ribosomal RNA", at positions 28 to 507 of the family's 1533-position model. The record is from RNAcentral.